This 110-nucleotide non-coding RNA is filed under the name Desulfobacter sp. RNAcentral's name for it is "Desulfitibacter sp. TPP sequence". It matches the Rfam family "TPP riboswitch aptamer (THI element)". From Rfam's summary of the family: Vitamin B(1) in its active form thiamin pyrophosphate (TPP) is an essential coenzyme that is synthesised by coupling of pyrimidine and thiazole moieties in bacteria. The previously detected thiamin-regulatory element, thi box was extended, resulting in a new, highly conserved RNA secondary structure, the THI element, which is widely distributed in eubacteria and also occurs in some archaea. The record is from RNAcentral. Lineage: Bacteria; Pseudomonadati; Thermodesulfobacteriota; Desulfobacteria; Desulfobacterales; Desulfobacteraceae.
UUUAUUAAAAAGGGGAGCUGGGGCAACCUGGCUGAGAUAGAACAUAAUGCUGUUCUGACCCUUAACCUGAUCUGGAUAAUGCCAGCGUAGGGAAAUAGCAAAGGUAUUUU